RNAcentral lists this unclassified non-coding RNA (345 nucleotides) under soil metagenome. RNAcentral's name for it is "partial contains 5.8S ribosomal RNA, internal transcribed spacer 2, and large subunit ribosomal RNA". The stretch from base 1 to 120 matches the Rfam family "5.8S ribosomal RNA", at positions 35 to 154 of the family's 154-position model. The record is from RNAcentral.
GAUGAAGAACGUAGCGAAAUGCGAUACGUAAUGUGAAUUGCAGAAUUCAGUGAAUCAUCGAGUCUUUGAACGCACAUUGCGCCCCCUGGUAUUCCGGGGGGCAUGCCUGUCCGAGCGUCAUUGCUGCCCUCAAGCACGGCUUGUGUGUUGGGCCUCCGUCCUCCUCCCGGGGGACGGGCCCGAAAGGCAGCGGCGGCACCGCGUCCGGUCCUCGAGCGUAUGGGGCUUCGUCACCCGCUCUUGUAGGCCCGGCCGGCGCUUGCCGACACAUCAAUCUUUUUUCCAGGUUGACCUCGAAUCAGGUAGGGAUACCCGCUGAACUUAAGCAUAUCAAUAAGCGGAGGA